AGAGAGAGACAUGCGCGCAUAUCAAUAAGCGGAGGAAAAGAAACUAACAAGGAUUCCCCUAGUAACGGCGAGUGAAGCGGGAAGAGCUCAAAUUUGAAAUCUUAAAGGGUUUCCCUUUACGAAUUGUAGUUUAAAGAAGUGUUUUCUGUUGAGGUUUUGGUAAAAGUUCUUUGGAAUAGGACAUCAUAGAGGGUGAGAAUCCCGUAUUUGACCAUUACUUUCCAGCUUUGUGAUACACUUUCAAAGAGUCGGAUUGUUUGGGAAUGCAGUCCAAAAUGGGUGGUAAAUUUCAUCUAAAGCUAAAUAUUGGCGAGAGACCGAUAGCGAACAAGUACCGUGAGGGAAAGAUGAAAAGAACUUUGAAAAGAGAGUUAAACAGUACGUGAAAUUGUCAAAAGGGAAGCGUUUGACACCAGUGUUGUUUUUCUGAAAAUCAAUUAAAGAACUGUUUAUGCUAAGCUGUUUAGACUUUAUCAGCUAACUGUUUAGUUUUGAGCUUUUCUUUAAUGCACUUUUCAGUUAACAAGUCAACAUCAAUUUCUUUUGCUGUAAAAAAGCUUGAGGAAGGUGGCUUGAGAUUCGUCUUAAGUGUUUAUAGCCUCUUGCCUAUGCAGUCGGAGAGAUUGAGGUCUGCAGCGUAGAUCCUUCGGGGCUAAAUGCAUUUGUGCUAAGUUAUAGCAUUUUAUAGACAACUUGUUGACUAUGAUUUGUCUUGUAGCUUACUCGCUUAUGUUAUUUUACCUACGCUUAGGAUGUUGAGCGCAUGUCUCUCUCU
Molecule: ribosomal RNA, 775 nt
Filed under: uncultured Neocallimastigales
Lineage: Eukaryota; Fungi; Neocallimastigomycota; Neocallimastigomycetes; Neocallimastigales
Description: partial large subunit ribosomal RNA
Rfam family: Eukaryotic large subunit ribosomal RNA
Source: RNAcentral